UACGUAGGGGGCAAGCGUUGUCCGGAUUUAUUGGGCGUAAAGAGCUCGUAGGUGGUUUGGUAAGUCGGAUGUGAAAUCUCCAGGCUCAACCUGGAGGGGUCAUUCGAUACUGCCAUGACUAGAGGUCGGUAGGGGAGUGUGGAAUUCCUGGUGGAGCGGUGAAAUGCGCAGAUAUCAGGAGGAACACCCAUUGCGAAGGCAGCUCGCUGGGACGUUACUGACGCUGAGACGCGAAAGCGUGGGGAGCAAACAGG
RNAcentral lists this ribosomal RNA (254 nucleotides) under uncultured bacterium. Its description in RNAcentral is "partial 16S ribosomal RNA". It matches the Rfam family "Bacterial small subunit ribosomal RNA", at positions 524 to 776 of the family's 1533-position model. The record is from RNAcentral.